GUCAUAAUUCAGUAUCAUGUUACUCUGUCAAACAGCACAAGCGUGAAUAUGAUCCGGGACUCGCAUCCCGACCAAAUGUCGGCGGCAGGAGCGCAGUGCGAGAGUAUGACGGAAUAGCACGCAGCAUAGCCACGCACCCUUCCCAUCUCCCCCACCACACCCCCACCACCACUGAUUUGCAAUGAUCCUUCCGCAGGUUCACCUACGGAAA
RNAcentral lists this unclassified non-coding RNA (211 nucleotides) under uncultured fungus. RNAcentral's name for it is "sequence contains ITS1". Lineage: Eukaryota; Fungi. The record is from RNAcentral.